Molecule: transfer RNA, 67 nt
Filed under: Trithemis aconita
Lineage: Eukaryota; Metazoa; Arthropoda; Insecta; Odonata; Libellulidae
Description: tRNA-Leu
Rfam family: tRNA
About the family: Transfer RNA (tRNA) molecules are approximately 80 nucleotides in length. Their secondary structure includes four short double-helical elements and three loops (D, anti-codon, and T loops).
Source: RNAcentral
ACUAUUUUGGCAGAAAAGUGCCAUGAAUUUAGAAUUCAUAAAUAUAGGUCAAUCCUAUAGAUAGUAC